Long non-coding RNA from Papaver somniferum (opium poppy), 550 nucleotides. RefSeq lists it as uncharacterized. NCBI's taxonomy places the organism in Eukaryota, Viridiplantae, Streptophyta, Magnoliopsida, Ranunculales, Papaveraceae. The record is from RefSeq and is a predicted model, not a curated record. The transcript is spliced from 2 exons.
CAUACGUCUACUAGACAUGUGGGACUUCAUAAUAAAUUUCAAAGUUACCCCUCUAUAUUUAUAAUAGUCUAAAUCAAAUUGAAUUCACUAUCUUUGAACUUUUGUGUCGAAGAGAGCUUCGGCCAUGGAGUUUUUAAGAUUUAUGGUCAAGAAAAUGGUAAGCAUGGUCAGCUGAGUAUCCAUUUUAUGGAACAAGGAAGAAUUCUUUGAUUCUGCGGGGUGGAGAGAAUUUGUGGGCAGUAACAAGCUUAUCACGAGAGUUGUAGCUGCCUAUUUAGAGAUUACUUUUUCAUCAUGAUCUAAAACUUAUGAGUAAAUCAACCAUUCUAAAUGCUAGCUAGCACCAUUCGUGGCUAAGAUGUGUUGUUAAGGCGACAUCGUACCAACAACAAAUUGACGAUCAGACUUCUUCAUUUCUACAGAAAAAUAAGAACAAAAGAAACAUUGAUUACAAUCCAAAAAAUUGUCUCUUUCUGGGUUUUAAUCAAUCAAAAAAAAAGGUUUUAAUGAUGAUGUGUAUUGUUAAAUGAAAUAAAGGGAGGUUUUGAAA